UAGGGAAUCUUCGGCAAUGGACGAAAGUCUGACCGAGCAACGCCGCGUGAGUGAAGAAGGUUUUCGGAUCGUAAAACUCUGUUGUUAGAGAAGAACAAGGACGUUAGUAACUGAACGUCCCCUGACGGUAUCUAACCAGAAAGCAACGGCUAACUACGUGCCAGCAGCCGCGGUAAUACGUAGGUGGCAAGCGUUGUCCGGAUUUAUUGGGCGUAACGCGAGCGCAGGCGGUUUCUUAAGUCUGAUGUGAAAGCCCCCGGCGCAACCGGGGAGGGUCAUUGGAAACUGGGAGACUUGAGUGCAGAAGAGGAGAGUGGAAUUCCAUGUGUAGCGGUGAAAUGCGUAGAUAUAUGGAGGAACACCAGUGGCGAAGGCGGCUCUCUGGUCUGUAACUGACGCUGAGGCUCGAAAGCGUGGGGAGCAAACAGG
RNAcentral lists this ribosomal RNA (429 nucleotides) under Gemmatimonadota bacterium. Its description in RNAcentral is "Gemmatimonadetes bacterium partial 16S ribosomal RNA". It matches the Rfam family "Bacterial small subunit ribosomal RNA", at positions 355 to 776 of the family's 1533-position model. The record is from RNAcentral. Lineage: Bacteria; Pseudomonadati; Gemmatimonadota.